This 517-nucleotide long non-coding RNA is filed under the name Marmota monax (woodchuck). Lineage: Eukaryota; Metazoa; Chordata; Mammalia; Rodentia; Sciuridae. The record is from RNAcentral.
GAAGACCUUAUAGAGCUUAUCAGGUAGGUAUCACCUUGUUUACUGGUUUCUAGUUGUAACAAAGGGAAAGAUCUAGCACAGACCAAGUGCAGAGAGAUGAUGGCUACCAUGGACAGAAGCUGGCUUCCCAGUCAGGUGGACCAGGCUGCUUCUCCCCAUAGAUAAACCAGGGCGAAUCUGGGAAGGUAAUUGUCUUCCUCUUCUCUAUAGAAUAGGGAUUUUACACACACACACACACACACACACACCUAUGUGUGUAUGUGUGUGUGUAUAUAUAUUCACAUCUGUAGUAAAUAUUAGAUUAUUAAGAAAUGCAAAACAGUAUAGAAUAGAGGGUUGGAGUCACAUUAUCUGGAUUCUUGUUCUAGCUGCACAGCAUUAGAAAUAUCUUUUAAUCUAAGUUUCAGUUUCUUUACUUAUUUAAAGGGAAUAAUAAUAGUAGUGCUUCAUUCCUGUGUCUUACUAAUGAAGUACAAAAAACGUUUCUAGCACUGAGAAAGUGCUCGAUAUCAGUUAG